Cebus imitator (Panamanian white-faced capuchin) is the source of this 1413-nucleotide long non-coding RNA. RefSeq lists it as uncharacterized. The record is from RefSeq and is a predicted model, not a curated record. Lineage: Eukaryota; Metazoa; Chordata; Mammalia; Primates; Cebidae. The transcript has 3 exons.
UUAAUUGAACCUAUGCAUUAAAAGAGUUUUUCCUAGGUCAUUGGGUCUUUAUUUCUGAAGAUUCCUAUAUCAUGUAAAACUUUGAUUAAAUAAACGUGUUAUGCCUUCUCUUACUAACCUGCCUUUUGUUAUAGGAGUGUUGGCCAUGAUCCUUAUCAUAGGUGAGAAAAGAUGUCACCUUUCUGCCCCUAUAGUUUCUGGCCCCUAAAAUUGGAGUCGCUGAGACACCUAAUUUGCUCUGGAGCCUGUGGAAUAGAUCCUGGGACAACUGGCAAACAGCCAGCAAAGGAAAGCUCCUAUCUCCUCCAUUUGGUGAUCAGUGGAUGGAAAAUUACUAAAAGGAAACAUCAGAGAACUUGACGGUUAACCUUUGGAAAUACAAGCUUCAAAGAAAUAAUGAUCAUCUGAAAGAGAACUGUUUAGAAACUGGUCCGAUAAAAAGUCUUAAACCCUUUUUCCACAACACUUGGGAAAAAGCUUGAACUAUCUGAGCAGGUGGCCUCAACUUGUCCCAUUCACCAGAACUAGUUAGUAAGUCUUAAAUUAUCAGACCUGGCACAUAGCUAAAAGUUUUAGAAUGAAAGCUGUAAAAUCUGCUUCUAUCUAUAUGUUUAUAUUAUUAAAUAUAAUAUAGAUGUAUAUUUUUGCCUGGGUUUACUGGUUAUACAUGUUUGUGUUGCCUCUGUUAAAUGUUUAAGACCAUAAAAGUGUAAAUUCAACCUAGAGCAGAAUGCACACUAAAAAUAAAUUGCCUGAUGCAUGUCAGUCAUGGAGAAAAAAAGAGAGGAAAGAACCACGUUUAACUUUUUAGUUUCUUGGCUUCUGCAGUAUUUUUGGCACUUGCCUGAUUUACCAAUAACAACAAAAAAUACUUACGAUAGUGGCCAGCUUUGUUUAAUGUUUUAUAAAAUUUUCAUUAACAGUUCAAGCAUAAUUGUUAAGAAUAACUAAAUUAAAAGAAUAUAAGUUGUAUAAAAGUUUAAGUGAGUUUUUAUUAAUAAUUAUAAAAUAUGUCUGCUUUAAAAUAGCAUAAAAUCUUUUUGAUAACUUGAAACUUUGAAAUAAAAUUAAGUAAUAGAUACCCAUUAAAUGUUUGAGUCAUUUCAAAAUAAGUCGAAAUAUCAAAACAUUAAUUACUAAGCGUAAAUUUGUUUAUAUAUUUUGUCAUCUUGCUUUUAUAUGACAUAGAGAAAUGAAAUAUAUUUAGUCUGCUAAUAAACAUGAAAAAUUGAGGAAACAUGUUUCUAAAAAGUAUAAAAUGGUGAAUGCUGAUAUAAGACAGUUCAUAAUAUUUGCUAAUUUUCACCAGAAAUUAACUUUACUAAGAAUUUGAGAUUAGGCCAGCCAUGGUGGCUGAUGCCUGUAAUCCUAGCCCUUUGGGAGGCCGAGGUGGGUGGAUCACCUGAGGUCAGG